This 435-nucleotide ribosomal RNA is filed under the name uncultured bacterium. Its description in RNAcentral is "bacterial SSU rRNA". It matches the Rfam family "Bacterial small subunit ribosomal RNA", at positions 29 to 507 of the family's 1533-position model. The record is from RNAcentral.
AACGAACGCUGGCGGCAGGCCUAACACAUGCAAGUCGAGCGAGGACUUCGGUCCUAGCGGCGGACGGGUGAGUAACGCGUGGGAACGUGCCCCCUUUCUACGGAAUAGCCCCGGGAAACUGGGAGUAAUACCGUAUAAGCCCUACGGGGGGAAAGAUUUAUCGGGAAGGGAUCGGCCCGCGUUGGAUUAGGUAGUUGGUGGGGUAAUGGCCUACCAAGCCGACGAUCCAUAGCUGGUUUGAGAGGAUGAUCAGCCACACUGGGACUGAGACACGGCCCAGACUCCUACGGGAGGCAGCAGUGGGGAAUCUUAGACAAUGGGCGCAAGCCUGAUCUAGCCAUGCCGCGUGAGCGAUGAAGGCCUUAGGGUUGUAAAGCUCUUUCAGGGGGGAAGAUAAUGACUGUACCCCCAGAAGAAGCCCCGGCUAACUCCGUG